AUUGAACGCUGGCGGCAUGCCUUACACAUGCAAGUCGAGCGGCAGCGCGGGGGCAACCCUGGCGGCGAGCGGCGAACGGGUGAGUAAUACAUCGGAACGUGUCCAGUAGCGGGGGAUAACCUGUCGAAAGAUAGGCUAAUACCGCAUACGACCUACGGGUGAAAGCGGGGGACCGCAAGGCCUCGCACUAUUGGAGCGGCCGAUGUCGGAUUAGCUAGUUGGCGGGGAACGGCCCACCAAGGCGACGAUCCGUAGCUGGUCUGAGAGGACGACCAGCCACACUGGAACUGAGACACGGUCCAGACUCCUACGGGAGGCAGCAGUGGGGAAUUUUGGACAAUGGGCGCAAGCCUGAUCCAGCCAUGCCGCGUGAGUGAAGAAGGCCUGGUU
RNAcentral lists this ribosomal RNA (390 nucleotides) under uncultured bacterium. Its description in RNAcentral is "bacterial SSU rRNA". It matches the Rfam family "Bacterial small subunit ribosomal RNA", at positions 29 to 424 of the family's 1533-position model. The record is from RNAcentral.